This 368-nucleotide ribosomal RNA is filed under the name uncultured organism. RNAcentral's name for it is "bacterial SSU rRNA". It matches the Rfam family "Bacterial small subunit ribosomal RNA", at positions 526 to 896 of the family's 1533-position model. The record is from RNAcentral.
CGGAGGGUGCAAGCGUUAUCCGGAUUCACUGGGUUUAAAGGGUGCGUAGGCGGGCAAGUAAGUCAGUGGUGAAAUCUCUGGGCUUAACCCAGAAACUGCCGUUGAUACUAUUUGCCUUGAAUAUCAUGGAGGUAAGCGGAAUAUGUCAUGUAGCGGUGAAAUGCUUAGAUAUGACAUAGAACACCGAUAGCGAAGGCAGCUUACUACAUGUUCAUUGACGCUGAGGCACGAAAGCGUGGGGAGCAAACAGGAUUAGAUACCCUGGUAGUCCACGCCCUAAACGAUGGAUACUCGACAUCAGCGAUACACUGUUGGUGUCUGAGCGAAAGCAUUAAGUAUCCCACCUGGGAAGUACGACCGCAAGGUUG